AGCGCGAGUCUUCGGGUGCGAGUAAGUGGCGGACGGGUGAGUAACGCGUGGGAAUCUGCCUAGUAGUUGGGGACAACUCGGGGAAACUCGAGCUAAUACCGAAUACGCCCUACGGGGGAAAGGCUUCGGCCGCUAUUAGAUGAGCCCGCGUAAGAUUAGCUUGUUGGUGGGGUAAUGGCCUACCAAGGCGACGAUCUUUAGCUGGUCUGAGAGGACGAUCAGCCACACUGGGACUGAGACACGGCCCAGACUCCUACGGGAGGCAGCAGUGGGGAAUAUUGGACAAUGGGGGAAACCCUGAUCCAGCAAUGCCGCGUGUGUGAAGAAGGCCUGCGGGUUGUAAAGCACUUUCAGUAGGGAAGAUUAUGACGGUACCUACAAAAGAAGCACCGGCUAACUCCGUGCCAGCAGCCGCGGUAAUACGGAGGGUGCGAGCGUUAAUCGGAAUUACUGGGCGUAAAGCGUACGUAGGUGGUUUGGUAAGUUGGAUGUGAAAUCCCCGGGCUCAACCUGGGAAUUGCAUUCGAAACUGCCUCACUAGAGUCUAGCAGAGGGAUGGGGAAUUCCGGGUGUAGCGGUGAAAUGCGUAGAGAUCCGGAGGAACAUCAGUGGCGAAGGCGCCAUCCUGGGCUAAGACUGACGCUGAGGUA
This 650-nucleotide ribosomal RNA is filed under the name uncultured bacterium. Its description in RNAcentral is "bacterial SSU rRNA". It matches the Rfam family "Bacterial small subunit ribosomal RNA", at positions 71 to 753 of the family's 1533-position model. The record is from RNAcentral.